RNAcentral lists this ribosomal RNA (495 nucleotides) under uncultured bacterium. RNAcentral's name for it is "partial 16S ribosomal RNA". It matches the Rfam family "Bacterial small subunit ribosomal RNA", at positions 28 to 507 of the family's 1533-position model. The record is from RNAcentral.
GACGAACGCUGGCGGCGUGCCUAAUACAUGCAAGUAGAACGCUGAAGGAGGAGCUUGCUUCUCUGGAUGAGUUGCGAACGGGUGAGUAACGCAUAGGUAACCUGCCUGGUAGCGGGGGAUAACUAUUGGAAACGAUAGCUAAUACCGCAUAAGAUUGACUAUUGCAUGAUAGUCAGUUAAAAGGUGCAAUUGCAUCACUACCAGAUGGACCUGCGUUGUAUUAGCUAGUUGGUGGGGUAACGGCUCACCAAGGCGACGAUACAUAGCCGACCUGAGAGGGUGAUCGGCCACACUGGGACUGAGACACGGCCCAGACUCCUACGGGAGGCAGCAGUAGGGAAUCUUCGGCAAUGGACGGAAGUCUGACCGAGCAACGCCGCGUGAGUGAAGAAGGUUUUCGGAUCGUAAAGCUCGGUUGUAAGAGAAGAACGAGUGUGAGAGUGGACAGUUCACACUGUGACGGUAUCUUACCAGAAAGGGACGGCUAACUACGUG